Passer domesticus (house sparrow) is the source of this 305-nucleotide long non-coding RNA. RefSeq lists it as uncharacterized. The transcript has 3 exons. The record is from RefSeq and is a predicted model, not a curated record. NCBI's taxonomy places the organism in Eukaryota, Metazoa, Chordata, Aves, Passeriformes, Passeridae.
GACAUCAUAGGCAGGAUCAGGGCCAAAACACUUGGAGGUCAACAUUUGAAGAGGAUGAGAUACAGUGAGCCUCUAAAAUAUCUAAUGUAUCAAAGCAUGUGUUGGUAAAAAAUGACAGCAAGUAUGUUGGACAACAGUUUUCUCAUUAUAUUCUAUUUUUGACAAAGGGGAUGAGAAGAAACUUUUUAGGCUAAACCUAUGGCUAACCUAAUCCACCCUUUGUAGGCGAACUGUAUCUCAACAUGGUAAAAAAAGUCCUCUCUAUCCCCACCCCCCAAAAUUCAGUUCUUCAUUUGUUUUGUUCA